Molecule: ribosomal RNA, 467 nt
Filed under: uncultured bacterium
Lineage: Bacteria
Description: partial 16S ribosomal RNA
Rfam family: Bacterial small subunit ribosomal RNA
Source: RNAcentral
ACGAACGCUGGCGGCGUGCUUAACACAUGCAAGUCGAACGGAAAGGCCCUGCUUUUGUGGGGUGCUCGAGUGGCGAACGGGUGAGUAACACGUGAGUAACCUGCCCUUGACUUUGGGAUAACUUCAGGAAACUGGGGCUAAUACCGGAUAGGAGCUCCUGCUGCAUGGUGGGGGUUGGAAAGUUUCGGCGGCUGGGGAUGGGCUCGCGGCUUAUCAGCUUGUUGGUGGGGUAGUGGCUUACCAAGGCUUUGACGGGUAGCCGGCCUGAGAGGGUGACCGGCCACAUUGGGACUGAGAUACGGCCCAGACUCCUACGGGAGGCAGCAGUGGGGAAUAUUGCACAAUGGGCGGAAGCCUGAUGCAGCAACGCCGCGUGCGGGAUGACGGCCUUCGGGUUGUAAACCGCUUUCGCCUGUGACGAAGCGUGAGUGACGGUAAUGGGUAAAGAAGCACCGGCUAACUACGUG